GGGGUUGUAGCUCAGUGGUAGAGUGCUUGUCUCGAAUGUGUGAGACCCUGGGUUCUAUCCCCAGUACCA
RNAcentral lists this transfer RNA (69 nucleotides) under Ictidomys tridecemlineatus (thirteen-lined ground squirrel). Its description in RNAcentral is "Spermophilus tridecemlineatus (thirteen-lined ground squirrel) tRNA". It matches the Rfam family "tRNA". From Rfam's summary of the family: Transfer RNA (tRNA) molecules are approximately 80 nucleotides in length. Their secondary structure includes four short double-helical elements and three loops (D, anti-codon, and T loops). Further hydrogen bonds mediate the characteristic L-shaped molecular structure. tRNAs have two regions of fundamental functional importance: the anti-codon, which is responsible for specific mRNA codon recognition, and the 3' end, to which the tRNAs corresponding amino acid is attached (by aminoacyl-tRNA synthetases). tRNAs cope with the degeneracy of the genetic code in two manners: having more than one tRNA (with a specific anti-codon) for a particular amino acid; and 'wobble' base-pairing, i.e. permitting non-standard base-pairing at the 3rd anti-codon position. The record is from Rfam by way of RNAcentral. Lineage: Eukaryota; Metazoa; Chordata; Mammalia; Rodentia; Sciuridae.